GGUCCAAUAGUGUAGAGGUUAUCACAUGGGAUUCUGAUGAUUGCUGCUUUCCCAUGACCCAGGUUCGAGUCCUGGUUGGACCU
RNAcentral lists this transfer RNA (83 nucleotides) under Lentinula raphanica. It matches the Rfam family "tRNA". From Rfam's summary of the family: Transfer RNA (tRNA) molecules are approximately 80 nucleotides in length. Lineage: Eukaryota; Fungi; Basidiomycota; Agaricomycetes; Agaricales; Omphalotaceae. The record is from Rfam by way of RNAcentral.